This 2170-nucleotide unclassified non-coding RNA is filed under the name Hevea brasiliensis (rubber tree). Lineage: Eukaryota; Viridiplantae; Streptophyta; Magnoliopsida; Malpighiales; Euphorbiaceae. The record is from RNAcentral.
GUCCUUGCAGGAUUGGCCGACCUUUUUCAAUCAAUGGGGUAUAAGAUGUUACAGCAUUCGCGCGUGGACGAAAUGCCGCUGGGCUUGAUAUUGCCUGCUGUACAGCUUUCCGAUAAUCAACAAACAUUGCAGGUAAGAAGUGAUCCUUCACAAAGUUCUCCACAAAUGCCAGAAGUCCAUCAUUCCCAAGUUGCGAAUACUUCUGUGGCAGCAUGGAAGCGACUUUAUCUGUAAACUGAAGAACAGGUCGGUAUAUAGAGGCUGCUAAAUAAAUUCCCUGCUCAGGUAAAAUAGUUGAUGUACCAUAACCUUCUUGGAGUACAUUGGAGCCUCUCUUACCCCAUCCUUGCCUAAUGAGGUCAACCCCUUGAUUUGAAAUGGAUACAGUAGCAUCUGUGAAACGAAAUGCAAAUGUUAGACCAUCUUCUGACCCAUCCCUCUUUUCCUUUGAAGGGGCCUUGCUUGCAAGUCUUGCUGUUUGGACAGCAGCAUCUGCGGAUGCAGCUUCUGGAGUAGCUCGCAGGAUCUCACAUAUGAGUUGUUGGCAUUCACUCUGUAAGACGGUCAAUGAAAAGCCAAUGUUAUACCCUCCAGUGGCAUGAGAUGCAUCUGAAUCAGGGUUCCAACUGAUGUCUGUAGGCAUAGACUUAGGCGUGUUCAAGUCAAUUUGUUGAGAGCACUUUGACUCGAGAAGUUCUCCAACAAUAACAUGGUUCUCAAAUAUAUGAACAACAGCAUCAAGAGUUGAAUCAAGGAGUUCCUUUGCAGCAGCCUGUGCUGUUCCUGUAGGAGCCAUGACAGGUGAAACAGGGCUGACUGCUAGUAGCACUGCGAGAUAUAUCCCAUUCUGAUGCUUCUGUUUUGAAGACUGAAAACUCUCCAAUUGCCCUUUAAGAUAGUGAAGACCUGUAAUGGCUGCUUGAGCAGCCUGGCCAAUGCGAGGUCGUGAAGCAUUUUCUGCAUGAGCUUUGAUCCUUGUUGUGAUUAUUUCAUGAAUAGUAGGUCGUAAUCUUUGGCAAAUAAUGGCGCCUGCAGCUGCAACUUUCCCAAGCAUGCAAAGACACUCAACCAUGGUCUGCAAGUACUUCACAUGCAAUGGAGCAUCAGUUUUCCUGAUUGCUUCAACAAAUUCAUCUGGUGUAGAAUCUGAAAGCCAUGUCAGAACUUGAUGAGUGAUAAUUUUUACAUCCUUCGAAGCACCAUCAAUGCCAUUGAUCCUUGAAGAGGUAGGAUUGCCAUCUGUCACAGUAUCUUCACCAUCAUCAUCAUGACCUUCUACUAGGGAGCUGCCAUCAAUAGAGCUAGUUUUGUGAGAUCCAUCCCCAGCUCCAAAUGAACCAAACUGAUUGUCACCUUUUAGUAACCUAGUUCUUCGAGAGAGAGGCUGUGAGUUGUUCAUGGACAAUGGUACAGCUACAGUGGUUGGUACUUCAUCAUCUCUUUCACUGAUACUGAAGAGAGUUGAACUGUAUUCACCCUUAUUAUAAAGAUGGGCAUGCAGAUCCUCCAAGACUUUAUAGAAGAGAACUCCUCUUAGCUUCGUCAACUCAGAUCUGACAUCUUGUAAAGCACCAACCGUUUGAAGACCCUCUCGUUCAAGCAUAAGAGCUGAUUGAACAUGCAACUGCACGGCAGCAUAGAAUUGCUUUUCAUUGAUCAGCUUUUCAAUACGAGCAGGAACCUUAGCUAUGCCUUCUAUUUGAUCUAACAAGGAGAUAAUAUGUCGCAAUGUAACAGACCGAUACCACAACUGAUGCAACUGCUUGUUACGGGCACCAAGAAGCUUCUUUGCCUCCGCCAAGUCACCUUUUAAAACCCCAAUACUUUGGGUGGAUUCACUGAAUAACCGCAAAAUCUGAGAAUAAUUUUGAAUAGCUUUAUUGAAGCCACCAUGGUAGGCAUGCACUACUUCAUCCACAACUUCCUCAAUAAUCUCACUUUGCUCCUUUAAGACUUGGACAUCACCUUCACGAUCUUUCGAUGUUAAUAUACGAACAACAUGAGGCAGUGAAUCAAAGCGAGCAGCAGCCCAGUUUUCAUCUACUCUAGCAAGUUCCUCCCUUAAGUACGAUUUGUCUUUAGGAAUGGGUAGUAGAUCAAAUUUCCCCAUCUCAAUAUACUCAACAGAGAAGGAUAUUGUUCGGAUCUAAGAAACAGUACGAGAACUAAA